UAAGUUGUUAACUCGUUAAGUCCGUCAACCUUGUUUUGAAGACCUGUUCGCAGGCUAGAACAGCUUUAAAACAAGAUGGCGUCUUUCGAAAAGCUUUCAAGAGUAGUAUUAGUAAACGUGGUAUUAAUAGACUUUAUCCUGACUUUAUUUUGAUAAAAUCUUCUUCUAUAGCAGUCUUGGACUGAUAUAACUCUUACAGUCAAACCGGAUGUUCUGUUCCCAUGAGUAUUGCAACAUU
Molecule: non-coding RNA, 238 nt
Organism: Paramuricea clavata
Lineage: Eukaryota; Metazoa; Cnidaria; Anthozoa; Malacalcyonacea; Plexauridae
Source: the annotation of a GenBank genome assembly